Molecule: small nuclear RNA, 104 nt
Organism: Prolemur simus (greater bamboo lemur)
Lineage: Eukaryota; Metazoa; Chordata; Mammalia; Primates; Lemuridae
Source: Ensembl
GUGCUUCCUUUGGCAGCGCAUGCGCUAAACUCGGAAUGACACAGAGAUGAGCGUGGCCCCUGCUGACAGAUGACAGGCAAAUUUGUGAAGUAUAACAUGGUUUU